UGGUGAUGUCUCCUAACCGUUAUCAAAGGAGGCACUCGGUCGUGCUGUGGGUAGAAAUUUUUAUUUCGAACCUACCUUAGACGCUUGUCGUCGGGAGUAUGACGUGAGGAUGGGUUAGAUGCCCA
Molecule: regulatory RNA element, 125 nt
Organism: Bacillus cereus ATCC 14579
Lineage: Bacteria; Bacillati; Bacillota; Bacilli; Caryophanales; Bacillaceae
Rfam family: epsC RNA
Source: Rfam